UCCCAAACCCCCUGUGAACAUACCAAUUGUUUAGCCUCGAGCGGAUACAGCCCGCUCCCGGUAAAACGGGACGGCCCGCCAGAGGACCCCUAAACUCUGUUUCUAUAUGUAACUUCUGAGUAAAACCAUAAAUAAAUCAAAACUUUCAACAACGGAUCUCUUGGUUCUGGCAUCGAUGAAGAACGCAGCAAAAUGCGAUAAGUAAUGUGAAUUGCAGAAUUCAGUGAAUCAUCGAAUCUUUGAACGCACAUUGCGCCCGCCAGUAUUCUGGCGGGCAUGCCUGUUCGAGCGUCAUUUCAACCCUCAAGCCCCCGGGCUUGGUGUUGGGGAUCGGCGAGCCUCACGGCAAGCCGGCCCCGAAAUACAGUGGCGGUCUCGCUGCAGCUUCCAUUGCGUAGUAGUAAAACCCUCGCAACUGGUACGCGGCGCGGCCAAGCCGUUAAACCCCCAACUUCUGAAUGUGACCUCGGAUCACGUAUCCGUACCCAAGCGUGAGUAAUAAUAUAGACACCGUCAGUACCCGGAGGAAAA
This 531-nucleotide ribosomal RNA is filed under the name Fusarium oxysporum f. sp. ciceris. RNAcentral describes it as "eukaryotic LSU rRNA". The stretch from base 141 to 294 matches the Rfam family "5.8S ribosomal RNA". The record is from RNAcentral. Lineage: Eukaryota; Fungi; Ascomycota; Sordariomycetes; Hypocreales; Nectriaceae.